This 484-nucleotide ribosomal RNA is filed under the name uncultured bacterium. RNAcentral describes it as "partial 16S ribosomal RNA". It matches the Rfam family "Bacterial small subunit ribosomal RNA", at positions 28 to 507 of the family's 1533-position model. The record is from RNAcentral.
GAUUAACGCUAGCGGCAGGCAUAAUACAUGCAAGUUGAACGGCAGCACAGGUAGCAAUACUGGGUGGCGAGUGGCGCACGGGUGCGUAACACGUAUGCAACCUACCCUAUACAGGCGAAUAACCUUUAGAAAUGAGGGCUAAUACGCCGUAGUAUUACAGAUGGGCAUCUAUUUGUAAUUAAAGAUUUAUCGGUAUAGGAUGGGCAUGCGUCCCAUUAGUUAGUUGGUAAGGUAGCGGCUUACCAAGACGAUGAUGGGUAGGGGAUCUGAGAGGACUUACCCCCACACUGGUACUGAGACACGGACCAGACUCCUACGGGAGGCAGCAGUAAGGAAUAUUGGGCAAUGGCCGCGAGGCUGACCCAGCCAUGCCGCGUGCAGGAAGACGGCCUUAUGGGUUGUAAACUGCUUUUAUACGGGAAUAAUAGAGUGUACGCGUACAUUUAUGCAAGUAUCGUAUGAAUAAGCAUCGGCUAACUCCGUG